GUACAAGCUUAGACAAGAAGGUGUUUGCAGAAGCUGGAGAAGACAGGUUGUGUCCAUCUUGCUGCUUUGUGCCAUACACAAGGCAUGGACAAUUAGAAAUUCUGAUCAGCUUCCAUCAGGAAAAUUUCACCUCUGAGUAAAGAGAAGUCUUACAUCUUGAGAUGAAUAGAAACAUCUCUUCUGCCUGGAGUUCCACAACACAUUGACAGUUCAUAAUUUCUGGGAGAUCAGAAAUCUUUACCUAGAUUUCAGUGCUAGCACCUCUAAUGCAGAUCACAUCCAGGAAGUUUAAGAUGCCGAGGUAAUGCAGUACUUUGUAUUGGAGCAAGGAAGGCACUGGGGCUUGAACUGAAGCUCUAAAGCACUUUGCUGUGUCAUCUAUCUUCAUUGUCCCUUCUGCAAGCCACAGAAACAGACACGCCCGGUCUGGGAACCAAAACCACCUAGCAACAGUAGCCUGCACGAGGGCUAGAAAUGCUCUGCCAUUUCAUUUAUCUUCUCUGUCCCUCCUGGCAACAGGAGAGACAGCAGCUGAAGGCACACCCCAUCCGGAAAUCAGAGACACCCAGCACUGGACUCUGAGUAACAGCCUGAAAAAAAGCCAUCCCAUCCAUCUCCCGCUUCCUGUCUGCAGCACUGCACCUGGCACAGGAAUCAGUUAGGUAAACAAAUGCCAUCACAGCUCUGAAAAAUGAUGUCAGCUCCCCAUGCUGAUGAGAAAUGCAGUCAGCCUCUUCAUACCACAGCGCAGUUCGUGCUUCCCACUACCACGUGAGCCAAGCCCGUUAGCUACAACCUCGUCUCACCAAGCACAUGCCUGUACAAAUACACCCCAUUCGCAGAGUGUCAAAAAUCAAGACUGGAUGCAAUCCUGACAUUGGUACCUGCAGACAAGGUAACAGACAUGUCAUCAUGAAGUUUUGGUGGGAGAAGAGAAAUGUAUUCUCCCCAGACUUCCUAUUAAAAGCAUCUUGGUCUACUCAGGCAUAUCAGCAGGUACAAGGUCUAACCACCUGUCACUUCAUUUAUUAUUGGAAUGUGCAAACUGGGAGGAUGCAGCUUCUAGAAAUUCUCACAGAGGAAAUACAAGGUAUAACUGCUAGAAAGACCUGCCUAGACGUGCUGUGCAAAAGAUGCUGA
RNAcentral lists this long non-coding RNA (1140 nucleotides) under Anas platyrhynchos platyrhynchos (common mallard). RNAcentral's name for it is "lncRNA (ENSAPLG00000029232.1)". Lineage: Eukaryota; Metazoa; Chordata; Aves; Anseriformes; Anatidae. The record is from RNAcentral.